This 4709-nucleotide long non-coding RNA is filed under the name Lynx pardinus (Iberian lynx). Lineage: Eukaryota; Metazoa; Chordata; Mammalia; Carnivora; Felidae. The record is from RNAcentral.
GGGGGCUGUCUGGUGUCGUGGGUACGGCCAGGGACCUUGACGAGGCGCAGGCUGGGAGCUGCGUCUCCUCCCACCCUGGAGCCCGAGGCCCAGGUGAGGCGCGGCCCGGGCAUUGGGUUCUCGGGCUGGACCUUUACCUGCCUUCUCCUCCGCAGGAGCGGAGAUGGGCUGGCAGAGACGCUCUGCUGCCACUUGGCAGAAGGACCCCGUGGUAGGAAAGCGAGACCCGAUUAAGCCUUGCCAGGUACUGACUCAUUCCACCUAUGUGGAAGGGUGUGCAACCUUGAAAAGAACAUUUGGAUUAAAAAUAGUGGGUGAACUUGUGGUUCUAAUGCUAACGCCCUUUUUAAUUCAUGGAGUACAGUACAGUAUACUAUAUUUCUAGGGUUUAACCGCCUUACUUAAGUGUCCCAGCCAGUUUUUAACACGUGCUUUUUCUGCUAAUUUACAGAGUUCAAGUGGAGUCACACUUACAUUUUGAACUUCAUUUCUAAUGCAGACACUUAAAACAGCUCUAUUCACCUCCCAAAAAGGUAAUGCGGAUUCCUCCAGUAAAGGAGCAUAUGAGUAUUUAUUGAAUUCUUGUGCUUGUCAAAAACCACAACAUUAUCUGUGUUUUCACUGAAGGAAAAGCACUGCCAAAAAGCGGGGGGCCUGGGGAGAUGGGGAGGCAAAGGAGGAUUGGGAAGCAAAUACUUAACCCUGUACAUACCGGGAUUUUCAUCCACCGGUGUGAAAGUUUGUAGAAAAUAAGUGUUGGUGAGGAUAUGGAGGAACUGGAACCCUUGUGCAUUGCUUGUGGGCAUGCAAAAUGGUGUAGUUGCUUUGAAAAAGUUUGAUGAUUUCUCAGAAAAUGAAACACAGAGUUACCAUAUGAUCCACUGAAAGCAGACACUCAGUUACUGGUACAUCCAUGUUCACAGUAACAUUGUUUCCAAUAGCCAAAGGGUAGAAACAACCCAAGUAAAUGUAGAAAGGAAUGGAUAAACAAAAUGUGGUAUGUACAUGCAAUGGAGUAUUUAGUCAACCUUAAGGAGUCAGUAAUACCUGCUACAACAUAGGAGAAUCUUGAAAACAUGUUAAGUGAAAUAAGCCAGACACAAAGACAAAUACUGUAUGAUUCCACCGAUAUGAGGAACUUAGUCAAGUUCAUAGAGACAAAAAGUGAAACAGAGUUUACCAGGGUCCAGGGAGAGGAGAGAAUGGGGAGUUACUAUUUAAUAGGUACAGAAUUUGUUUGGGAUGAUGGAAACGUCCUGGAAAUGUGAUGGUUGUACAACAUUAUGAAUGUAAGUAACGCCUCUGAAUUACACACUUAAAAAUGGUGUAUGGACUGUAUAUUUCACCAUACACACACACACACACACACACAGAACUCAUCAAAUACAAUCUAUAUUUGCAACCAAUCAUUGGAUAACUUUAAUUCCAGCAUUUGGGUUGUACAAACAUAAUUUGUGAAAACCUUUUCAAGUUUUGAUUUGAGAACUAAAUGAGAGAAAUUCAUGUUCAAAGCUUACAAGAUGCUGUUUUUCAGUGUAUGUGUGUUUGUUUUAAAUUCUGAAUACACUAGAUAGUAUGUGCAGGAUGAAUAUAGGUAACGAUGUUUAAAUGUUAGAAUUCCUAAACACUCAACUACAUACAUUGUAUUAUACACACUGGAGACAACCAAAUCUAUUCUCGUUAUGUAGUUGGAAAUAAACUAUUUUGAUAUCUUACAUUUGACCUAUCAAUCAACAUCAUUAGAAAAACCAUAAUUUCAGGGCACCUGGGUGGCUCAGUUGGUUAAGUGUCUGACUCUUGGUUUCAGCUCAGGUCAUGAUCCCAUGGUCAUGAGAUCAAGCCCCACAUCAGGCCCUGGGCUGAGUGUGGAGCCUGCUUAAGAUCCUCUCUUUCCCUCUGCCCUUCUUCCCUGCUCACACUCAAAAUAAAUAAACUUAAAAAAAUAAAGUGUUAAAAACAAACAAAAAAGCCCCACAAUUUCAAACUGGCUCUUUCUAAACAUACAGCCAAGACAAAUGGCAUCUUCCAUACUGUUAUUCGGAUGGAUUUUACCUUAGGGGUUUUUUUGGGAGGUGGGGAGGCUAAAUGCUCCCUGCGCAUAGUUCAUAUAUUUCAAAUACCAUUUUCUUAGCCAUUCGACAAGUAAGAAAAUGCUGAUUUAUUUUCUCCCCUUUUGUAUAUGGGAAAAUACAAGGUGUUCAAGCUGAGAUGGUAUGUAUACGAUGCCGAAACCUUCAUCAACUCCUCCAAAGCUUGUUUGCACUCUUCUGUUUGGACUGUUUUUCCAUGUGUGGCUUGUGAAAUCACAGGAGGAGUGACUAUUGCCCAGGUACGUGUUUAGCUGGCACAGCAGUGCUUUCCAGGUUGCCCACUAACCUUGUGAGUACAUGUGAAUAGAAUUAUUCUUUUUUCCACCAUCAAAAUGAGUGACCGUUAUUUAGAGCAACGAAUUCAUGUUAAGUUGUGUGUAAAGUUAAAUAAAUCUGCAAGUGAGACACUUGAGAUGUUAAAAGUAGUUUAUGGUGAAGAAGUAAUGUCGAGAGCAAGAGUUUUUGACUGGCACAAAAGGUUUAAAGAAGGCAGAGAUGAUAUCCAUGGUGAUGUGAAAAGUGGCUGUCCAGUUAUCCACAGAACACAGGAAAACAUUGAGAAGGUCAGAAAUCGGGUUGGCUCAGAUAGCUGAAAAGUGAAAUGUAGACUAAGAAACAAACUCAUGCUGAAAGAAAACUUGCACAUGAGGAAAGUUUCUAGGAGGAUUAUAUCUCAUUCUGUUGUGGUUCAGGACCCUGCUGAGGCCAAACGAUAACAGAGCUGCACAUGAACCUGACACUUGGGUAUAUAUUCAGGGCACAAUCCUACAUACAGUUUAGUUUCACUGGUCUUGGAGUAACUUGUAUCUGAAUCUCAAGUGAGCUGAGCUUUUUCAAACGUGUUCCGUUGGCUUUGUAGGUACAUGAUUUGAGCAGAGUCAAACCUGUGGAGUUGAGUGUGACAAAGGAGAGAGCGUGGAGCCUAGAGGUUUAUUGGGAACCUGGCCCUCUGUUACCGCAGUACCUAAAUUUCUACCUUGUCUUUUCAGGGUGAGCUCAUUUGAAUAAUCAGUAGGUUACCUACAGUCUGGGCAGUUAAACUUUCAACAAGGAGCUGGACAUCAGUGUUACUCUGUAUGGAAAUACUUCAUGUUAUUUUUUUAAUGUUUAUUUAUUUUUGAGGGAGAGAGUGUGAGCGGGACAAAGAGACAAUGGGGGGACAGAGGAUGCAAAGCGGGCUCUGCACUGACAGCAGUGAGCCCGAUGCGGGACUUGAAUUCACGAACCAUGAGAUCAUAAUCUUAGUUGAAGUCGGAUGCUCAACCACCUGAGCCUCCCAGGUGCCCCUUUGUGGUACUAUUUCAACAACGAUAAGAAAAGAAUGGCCAUCUUUAGGCAGAAAUAUUCAGACUUGUAAUAAUGGAAUUUUUGUGGUGGGAGAUUGAGGUCAGAUGUUGGAAACUGGAAUUCAAAUCUGUCAGCAAGAAUGAAACAGAAGAGGCUGUAGGAAUAGUGGGCAGUUUUAGUAAAAAUAUACUCUUCCCUUCCACUCCCCCCACCCCCAAAUCAGGACCUGAUUUUGGUCAAAAGCCCACAAAACUUUCUAUUCUUUAUGUAAUCUAAAUUUUAGUUUCAAAUGGAUUCUUAUAUAUAAACUGUUUGGGUCUGGAAUUUGGCAUGAAGGGGAGACAAAUAGAGUUCAAUUUUGUUCCUAACUUCUUUCACCAGGAGAACGAGAUUCCAUGCUUCGAGUUUUGAAAGGCAUGACUGCAAUUAGCAACGUGUGAAUAACAACAUACACAAUCUCUUCAUCAACAACAAGGAACUGCAUUCUGACCUUCACAUUGUCUACGUGUGCUACUGAGUGUGGGGUCAUAUCCUAAGCUUCAGCUCUAAUAAGCAUUCAUCACAGGGAAGGUACGAUCUUGGAUAUUCAGUUGGCUACAAAUAGCUUUAAGUACAUUUAUGGUCAAGUCAAAUGGUAGCUUUGCUGACACAUUAAUAGAAAAGCAUUGGUAAUUCAUGUCAGAAUGAGAUACAAAAUAAUAGGUGAAAAAUGAUUUCACAUAAAAGAAAUUUUGAUAAACCUAGAAAACAAUUUCAGUUAUUUUUGUCCAUUAACAUUAGCAUUUUAAAGAGCUACUUGAAUCACAUGUUGUUCCUUCCCAUAAGAAGAGAUUUUGAGUACAACAGGAUGAAUUUCUCAUUGAGAAACUUGUUUUUGCCCCAGUUUCCUUUCUAGUCUCCAGUAGGACACGGUCAUCAUUCAGUAUUGGUAUUGUAGCAACUUAGAUGUACCAAAUGGCAACAUAUAGGACUUAAGUCAGAGCCCCAUGGCAGUGACUCUGAAAAGACUAGUUUUAUUAGUUAUACUAUUAAGGGUUUUUUGUUGCUGUUUUAAAAGACUCCCAGAAAUCCAAAUUUACAUUUUGUGGAACAUGAGCCAAAACUACUUGAGGUUGUUAUGGAAAAAUGGUCUCAUUUUAAUGGUCUAUAUUACCUCUGGGACCCUGCUGGUCAAAGCUGUGUGGCCCACAAGGCAAAAAUUAGAAUGAUCUUUUUCAUAUUGUCUUAAUUUUUUAUUACUGACUUUGUUACAGCUUGAUCUUUGGAGGUGCUUUGUACUGUGUAAAUGAAAUUUACUGAAAAUGUACAUAAGUAACUGACGUCCCAAUAAAC